RNAcentral lists this ribosomal RNA (588 nucleotides) under uncultured Actinomycetes bacterium. RNAcentral describes it as "bacterial SSU rRNA". It matches the Rfam family "Bacterial small subunit ribosomal RNA", at positions 338 to 916 of the family's 1533-position model. The record is from RNAcentral. Lineage: Bacteria; Bacillati; Actinomycetota; Actinomycetes.
CCUACGGGAGGCAGCAGUGGGGAAUAUUGGACAAUGGGCGCAAGCCUGAUCCAGCAAUGCCGCGUGUGUGAAGAAGGCCUUCGGGUUGUAAAGCACUUUUAUCAGGAGCGAAAUACUACCGGCUAAUAUCCGGUGGGGCUGACGGUACCUGAGGAAAAAGCACCGGCUAACUACGUGCCAGCAGCCGCGGUAAUACGUAGGGUGCAAGCGUUGUCCGGAAUUAUUGGGCGUAAAGAGCUCGUAGGCGGUUUGUCGCGUCUGCUGUGAAAACCUGAGGCUCAACCUCAGACCUGCAGUGGGUACGGGCAAGCUAGAGUGCGGUAGGGGAGAUGGGAAUUCCUGGUGUAGCGGUGGAAUGCGCAGAUAUCAGGAGGAACACCGAUGGCGAAGGCACAUCUCUGGGCCGUAACUGACGCUGAGGAGCGAAAGCGUGGGGAGCGAACAGGAUUAGAUACCCUGGUAGUCCACGCCGUAAACGGUGGGUGCUAGUUGUGGGUCACAUUCCACGUGAUCCGUGACGAAGUUAACACAUUAAGCACCCCGCCUGGGGAGUACGGUCGCAAGACUAAAACUCAAAGGAAUUGACGG